This 94-nucleotide transfer RNA is filed under the name Treponema sp. RNAcentral's name for it is "tRNA-OTHER". It matches the Rfam family "tRNA". From Rfam's summary of the family: Transfer RNA (tRNA) molecules are approximately 80 nucleotides in length. Their secondary structure includes four short double-helical elements and three loops (D, anti-codon, and T loops). The record is from RNAcentral. RNAcentral also lists the same sequence under 1 other name. Lineage: Bacteria; Pseudomonadati; Spirochaetota; Spirochaetia; Treponematales; Treponemataceae.
GCCGCAGUGAUGGAACGGUAAGACAUCGCAGGAUUAUCCCUUCCCACCCCCUGUGGUCUAUAGGACAGCACGGGUUCGACUCCCGGCUGCGGCA